GUGAUCACUUCAGCAGCACAUAUACUAAAAAUUGGAAUGAUGUAGAGAGGAAUUAGUAUGGCCCCUGCAUAAGGAUGACACACAAAUUUGUGAAAUGUUCCAUAUUUUU
Vulpes vulpes (red fox) is the source of this 109-nucleotide small nuclear RNA. The record is from Ensembl. Lineage: Eukaryota; Metazoa; Chordata; Mammalia; Carnivora; Canidae.